This 434-nucleotide unclassified non-coding RNA is filed under the name soil metagenome. RNAcentral describes it as "partial contains 5.8S ribosomal RNA, internal transcribed spacer 2, and large subunit ribosomal RNA". The stretch from base 1 to 120 matches the Rfam family "5.8S ribosomal RNA", at positions 35 to 154 of the family's 154-position model. The record is from RNAcentral.
GAUGAAGAACGUAGCGAAAUGCGAUACGUAAUGUGAAUUGCAGAAUUCAGUGAAUCAUCGAAUCUUUGAACGCAUAUUGCGCUCUUUGGUAUUCCGAAGAGCAUGCUUGUUUGAGUAUCAGUAAACACCUCAAAGCUUUUGGAUUUUUUAAUCGAAAAGCUUUGGACUUGAGCAAUCCCAACACCAAUCUUUUUGAGAUCGGUGGCGGGUUGCUUGAAAUGCAGGUGCAGCUGGACAUUCUCCUGAGCUAAAAGCAUAUUCAUUUAGUCCCGUCAAACGGAUUAUUACUUUUGCUGCAGCUAACAUAAAGGGAGUUUGACCGUAUUGGCUGACUGAUGCAGGAUGUCACAAGGGUCGGCAACGAUUCUUGUUAAACUCGAUCUCAAAUCAAGUAAGACUACCCGCUGAACUUAAGCAUAUCAAUAAGCGGAGGA